RNAcentral lists this ribosomal RNA (253 nucleotides) under uncultured bacterium. RNAcentral describes it as "partial 16S ribosomal RNA". It matches the Rfam family "Bacterial small subunit ribosomal RNA", at positions 524 to 776 of the family's 1533-position model. The record is from RNAcentral.
UACGUAGGGGGCGAGCGUUGUCCAGAGUUACUGGGCGUAAAGCGCACGCAGGCGGUCUGCUAAGUUUGGAGUGACAGUUGGUGGCUUAACUGCCAAAGUGCUUCGAAAACUGACAGACUUGAGGGCUUCAGAGGGACACGGAAUUCCGGGUGGAGUGGUGAAAUGCGUAGAGAUCCGGAGGAACACCAAAGGCGAAGGCAGUGUCCUGGGGAGUACCUGACGCUCAGGUGCGAAAGCCAGGGGAGCGAACGGG